Molecule: ribosomal RNA, 747 nt
Filed under: Triticum aestivum (bread wheat)
Lineage: Eukaryota; Viridiplantae; Streptophyta; Magnoliopsida; Poales; Poaceae
Description: partial small subunit ribosomal RNA
Source: RNAcentral
AUGGAAGAAGAAAUUGAUGAAACUGUGAGCUCAUUGGAUGAAAAAGAUGAGGAGGGGAGCGAAGAACGAAAGGAGGAAGAGUGGAUUAGCUACCCGUGCCCACCUUCUAAUGAGAGUAACUCUUCAACUCAUACAUUGUUUAAUUUCCCUUCGUGCUUACCGGAGGAUGAUUGCUAUGAUGAUUGUUAUGAUCCCGUUGAUUCUUUUGAAAUAUCCCUUUUUGAUGAUGCUUGCUAUGCUUGUGGCCAAGAUGCCAAUACGAAUUAUGCUUAUGGAGAUGAACUUGCUAUAGUUCCUUAUGUUAAACAUGAAAUUGUUUCUAUUGCACCCACACAUGAUAGUCCUAUUAUAUUUUUGAAUUCUCCAAACUACACUAUAUCGGAGAAGUUUGCACUUAUUAAGGAUUAUAUUGAUGGGUUGUGUAUUACUAUUACACAUGAUGAUUGUGAUGAAUAUAAUAUGCAUGUGCUUGCUGCUCCUACUUGCAAUUAUUAUGAGAGAGUAACUAUAUCUCCACCUCUCUAUGUUUCCAAUACGAUAAAAUUGCAAGAAACUGUUUAUACUAUGCAUUGGCCUUUACUUUGUGUGCAUGAAUUGUUCUUUUAUGACAUGCCUAUGCAUAGGAAGAGAGUUAGACUUGGUUGUUGCAUGAUAUAUGUUACUUUGUGCUCACUACUAAAUUACAAAUCAUUGCUAAUUAAAAUUGACUUUGAUAUACCUUGGGAUCCGGGUGGAUCCAUUACUUGA